This 163-nucleotide non-coding RNA is filed under the name uncultured Ruthenibacterium sp. RNAcentral's name for it is "Lysine riboswitch". It matches the Rfam family "Lysine riboswitch aptamer". Rfam says of the family: Riboswitches are metabolite binding domains within certain messenger RNAs that serve as precision sensors for their corresponding targets. Lineage: Bacteria; Bacillati; Bacillota; Clostridia; Eubacteriales; Oscillospiraceae. The record is from RNAcentral.
AUGGUAGAGGCGCGGCGAAGAUGAGUACCGCGCGGCAACGGCCGGCAGGCCGCCGCGCAGGGAAAGGCGACGCCGCCGAAGCAAAGCGAACCGGCUGCCGCCGCCGCUCUGCUGGGCCUGUGCAGAACAUGCACCGGACUGUCACGCAAGUGGAGAGCUAUCA